CACAUAAUAGCUUAAUACAAAGCAUUAAACUUUUAAUUUAGGGAUAAGUAAAACUUUUGUGUGA
RNAcentral lists this transfer RNA (64 nucleotides) under Octomeris sp. BKKC-2014. Its description in RNAcentral is "tRNA-Lys". It matches the Rfam family "tRNA". Rfam says of the family: Transfer RNA (tRNA) molecules are approximately 80 nucleotides in length. Their secondary structure includes four short double-helical elements and three loops (D, anti-codon, and T loops). Lineage: Eukaryota; Metazoa; Arthropoda; Thecostraca; Balanomorpha; Chthamalidae. The record is from RNAcentral.